Molecule: ribosomal RNA, 80 nt
Filed under: Acacia leptocarpa
Lineage: Eukaryota; Viridiplantae; Streptophyta; Magnoliopsida; Fabales; Fabaceae
Description: partial 26S ribosomal RNA
Rfam family: Eukaryotic large subunit ribosomal RNA (bases 17-80)
Source: RNAcentral
GCUGCCCGCUCGUACGCGACCCCAGGUCAGGCGGGGCUACCCGCUGAGUUUAAGCAUAUCAAUAAGCGGAGGAAAAGAAA